RNAcentral lists this transfer RNA (70 nucleotides) under Dipodomys ordii (Ord's kangaroo rat). It matches the Rfam family "tRNA". From Rfam's summary of the family: Transfer RNA (tRNA) molecules are approximately 80 nucleotides in length. Their secondary structure includes four short double-helical elements and three loops (D, anti-codon, and T loops). Further hydrogen bonds mediate the characteristic L-shaped molecular structure. tRNAs have two regions of fundamental functional importance: the anti-codon, which is responsible for specific mRNA codon recognition, and the 3' end, to which the tRNAs corresponding amino acid is attached (by aminoacyl-tRNA synthetases). tRNAs cope with the degeneracy of the genetic code in two manners: having more than one tRNA (with a specific anti-codon) for a particular amino acid; and 'wobble' base-pairing, i.e. permitting non-standard base-pairing at the 3rd anti-codon position. The record is from Rfam by way of RNAcentral. Lineage: Eukaryota; Metazoa; Chordata; Mammalia; Rodentia; Heteromyidae.
GGGAAUAUGGCUUAGUGGUAGAGUACUUGCUUAGCAUGCAUGAAGCCCUGGGUUCAAUUCCUCAUUACUA